This 724-nucleotide ribosomal RNA is filed under the name uncultured Glomeromycotina. RNAcentral's name for it is "SSU rRNA". It matches the Rfam family "Eukaryotic small subunit ribosomal RNA", at positions 373 to 1098 of the family's 1831-position model. Lineage: Eukaryota; Fungi; Glomeromycota. The record is from RNAcentral.
GGGCACGACACCGGAGAGGGAGCCUGAGAAACGGCUACCANNNCCAAGGAUGGCAGCAGGCGCGCAAAUUACCCAAUCCCGACACGGGGAGGUAGUGACAAUAAAUAACAAUACGGGGUUCUUUAGGAUCUCGUAAUUGGAAUGAGUACAAUUUAAAUCUCUUAACGAGGAACAAUUGGAGGGCAAGUCUGGUGCCAGCAGCCGCGGUAAUUCCAGCUCCAAUAGCGUAUAUUAAAGUUGUUGCAGUUAAAAAGCUCGUAGUUGAAUUUCGGGGUUAGUAGGUUGGUCAUGCCUCUGGUAUGUACUGGUCUCACUGAUUCCUCCUUCCUUAUGAACCGUAAUGCCAUUAAUUUGGUGUUGCGGGGAAUUUGGACUGUUACUUUGAAAAAAUUAGAGUGUUUAAAGCAAGCUAACGCUUGAAUACAUUAGCAUGGAAUAAUGAAAUAGGACGUUCGAUCUUAUUUUGUUGGUUUCUAGGAUUGACGUAAUGAUUAAUAGGGAUAGUUGGGGGCAUUAGUAUUCAAUUGUCAGAGGUGAAAUUCUUGGAUUUAUUGAAGACUAACUACUGCGAAAGCAUUUGCCAAGGAUGUUUUCAUUAAUCAAGAACGAAAGUUAGGGGAUCGAAGACGAUCAGAUACCGUCGUAGUCUUAACCAUAAACUAUGCCGACUAGGGAUCGGAUGAUGUUAAUUUUUUAAUGACUCAUUCGGCGCCUUACGGGAAAC